GAGGAACCCCAUCAAACUUGGAUUUUGUAAGUAGUUGCGAAUGAACACAAAUUUGAUCACUUUGGCAAUCUGUACACAUUGCUGUGUAACAAUUUGUAUACGUUGGCACAGUGCUAUCAAAGCUGCAUGCAAGUGUUUUUUGAAAGGAUACAACAUGGGAUGUGAUAUUCAUGUGUGUGUGCCUGCUUUGUCCACAGCCUGUGCUGUAUGAAUCACAUUUCUUGCAACUGAAAUGCUAAUGGCAUGGUAAAGUUCAUGUGACAUGACACAAGCUUGAGAUUCAUGAUGUGCAAGUACCAUGAGGGAAAUGUGAAAAGGACUUUGGAAAGAAAAUUAAAUAAAGCCUGCAUUUGCUGACAAUGAAAGCAAGUGUGGAUGUUCAUGUAAUUGUUACUGCAUCAAUCAAUGUUCAUCUUGGUUACUGCAUGCUUUAUAUUACAGCUCAAAACAUGAAGUGUGUGUAACAGCUCUGCUUUGAUUUUUCCCACAUGGGAUCAGUUGAAACAUUGUGAGAGCACUCUUCAGUUUCCUUAUGUACCCACCAGCUUUGUCCACUCGCGUGUUGGCACACAUGUAAUGAUGAUGUGUUUAUGCAAGAUACUUCUGUGCUCAACAACAUGUUGUGUCAAUCCUCACUU
This 638-nucleotide ribosomal RNA is filed under the name Ostreopsis ovata. RNAcentral describes it as "eukaryotic LSU rRNA". It matches the Rfam family "Eukaryotic large subunit ribosomal RNA", at positions 53 to 644 of the family's 3401-position model. Lineage: Eukaryota; Dinophyceae; Peridiniales; Ostreopsidaceae. The record is from RNAcentral.